This 253-nucleotide ribosomal RNA is filed under the name uncultured bacterium. RNAcentral's name for it is "partial 16S ribosomal RNA". It matches the Rfam family "Bacterial small subunit ribosomal RNA", at positions 524 to 776 of the family's 1533-position model. The record is from RNAcentral.
UACGUAGGGUGCAAGCGUUGUCCGGAAUUCUUGGGCGUAAAGAGCUCGUAGGCGGUUUGUUGCGUCGGCUGUGAAAUCCCGAGGCUCAACCUCGGGUCUGCAGUCGAUACGAGCAAACUAGAGUGUUGCAGGGGAGACUGGAAUUCCUGGUGUAGCGGUGAAAUGCGCAGAUAUCAGGAGGAACACCGGUGGCGAAGGCGGGUCUCUGGGCAACAACUGACGCUGAGGAGCGAAAGCGUGGGGAGCGAACAGG